AACUUAGUAUGUUAUUUCAUGAACUGAAUCAUUAUUGAUAGUAUUAGUAAAGAUUAAGGAGCCAAUAGGCCGUUAUAAGUCUCUGCUGUAUUAUUCUUUAUUUGCACCCAAUUUGUAACAAAAAUAAAAAUAAAAAAUUCUCUGUGCACUUAAUUAUUAAAGUAGUUUUUAAUUUUAAAUUUCUAAUGAAUUUUCGCAUUUAUAAUCGAGCACUCCAGAUCAGAAUGUUCAUUAAACAUUUGAUGCUUCUUAUAUGGUGAUGGUAAAAAACUUCAACU
RNAcentral lists this long non-coding RNA (278 nucleotides) under Gossypium barbadense (sea-island cotton). Its description in RNAcentral is "long non-coding RNA (GBAR_LNC003956)". Lineage: Eukaryota; Viridiplantae; Streptophyta; Magnoliopsida; Malvales; Malvaceae. The record is from RNAcentral.